Molecule: ribosomal RNA, 439 nt
Filed under: uncultured bacterium
Lineage: Bacteria
Description: partial 16S ribosomal RNA
Rfam family: Bacterial small subunit ribosomal RNA
Source: RNAcentral
CUACGGGUUGCAGCAGUGGGGAAUAUUGCACAAUGGAGGAAACUCUGAUGCAGCAACGCCGCGUGGAGGAUGACACUUUUCGGAGCGUAAACUCCUUUUAUAUAGGAAGAAGAUGACGGUACUAUAUGAAUAAGCGCCGGCUAACUCCGCGCCAGCAGCCGCGGUAGUACGGAGGGCGCAAGCGUUACUCGGAAUCACUGGGCGUAAAGAGCGUGUAGGCGGAUUAAAAAGUCAGAAGUGAAAUCCUAUAGCUUAACUAUAGAACUGCUUCUGAAACUCUUAAUCUAGAAUAUGGGAGAGGUAGAUGGAAUUUCUGGUGUAGGGGUAAAAUCCGUAGAGAUCAGAAGGAAUACCGAUUGCGAAGGCGAUCUACUAGAACAUUAUUGACGCUGAGACGCGAAAGCGUGGGGAGCAAACAGGAUUAGAUACCCUAGUAGUC